Long non-coding RNA from Pipistrellus kuhlii (Kuhl's pipistrelle), 683 nucleotides. RefSeq lists it as uncharacterized. Lineage: Eukaryota; Metazoa; Chordata; Mammalia; Chiroptera; Vespertilionidae. The record is from RefSeq and is a predicted model, not a curated record. The transcript is spliced from 2 exons.
UUUCCACCUACCGGCAUAUUUAGGGGUUCUCAUGGGCUGGACGCCUCUGAUUUGGAGGUUCUGGUCCCAGGCUAAAGGGGGCGGACAGGGGACCCCCCUCCCCGGACCCAGGACUGUGGUACAGCCUGCUCCGCCAGCGUCACGUGGGCAGCCCCUCUGUGACGUCGGCGCCUUCGCUGUAGCAAAGCUCGGCCUCUGGAAUUCUGAGAACUAAUUUGCUAUUCGGUGACAUAAGAGGGGGGAGUGCGCUUUUGCUUUCCUGGGGUCUGGGGCUCAUUCCUCCUCUUCUUGCCCAUAAACUCAGCUCCUGGAACUAAAUCACACGGAAAGGGGAGCGAGAGAUCCGAACCGUGGGCAAAAGUCUGUUGUCUAUGCCAGGUUUAGAAGCGAGUGAGAGAGAGAGGGGGAAAAAAAACCCAAAUCACCACAGCUCUUUGCAGCUAGCAUAGUAGGCACUACGAGAAAAAUAUUUGCCAAGCAGUUUUUCUUCGAAGCCUAUCUGAAGCCGGCUUGAUGGCAGGGGAGAGCUGGAGAGCAGAAGAAUGUGCAGAGGGAGGGAGUGCUUGGUACUUUUCCAUUCACAUCUCCACAGUGGCUUUUCUUGUUUAUUUCAGCUUCCACCCGCAGGAACCUUUCUACUGCCUGAAAUUCGAGUCAUUAAACUGUUCCCUGUGGUCAGACUA